RNAcentral lists this ribosomal RNA (549 nucleotides) under uncultured Dactylosporangium sp. Its description in RNAcentral is "bacterial SSU rRNA". It matches the Rfam family "Bacterial small subunit ribosomal RNA", at positions 575 to 1124 of the family's 1533-position model. Lineage: Bacteria; Bacillati; Actinomycetota; Actinomycetes; Micromonosporales; Micromonosporaceae. The record is from RNAcentral.
GCGGCUUGUUGCGUCAGCUGUGAAAACCCGCAGCUCAACUGUGGGCUUGCAGCUGAUACGGGCAGGCUUGAGUUCGGUAGGGGAGACUGGAAUUCCUGGUGUAGCGGUGAAAUGCGCAGAUAUCAGGAGGAACACCGGUGGCGAAGGCGGGUCUCUGGGCCGAUACUGACGCUGAGGAGCGAAAGCGUGGGGAGCGAACAGGAUUAGAUACCCUGGUAGUCCACGCUGUAAACGUUGGGCGCUAGGUGUGGGGGGCCUCUCCGGUUCUCUGUGCCGCAGCUAACGCAUUAAGCGCCCCGCCUGGGGAGUACGGCCGCAAGGCUAAAACUCAAAGGAAUUGACGGGGGCCCGCACAAGCGGCGGAGCAUGCGGAUUAAUUCGAUGCAACGCGAAGAACCUUACCUGGGUUUGACAUGUGCGCUAAUCCGGCAGAGAUGUCGGGUCCUUCGAGGGCGUUCACAGGUGGUGCAUGGCUGUCGUCAGCUCGUGUCGUGAGGUGUUGGGUUAAGUCCCGCAACGAGCGCAACCCUUGUUCGAUGUUGCCAGCGG